RNAcentral lists this unclassified non-coding RNA (153 nucleotides) under uncultured Setophoma. RNAcentral's name for it is "sequence contains ITS2". The record is from RNAcentral. Lineage: Eukaryota; Fungi; Ascomycota; Dothideomycetes; Pleosporales; Phaeosphaeriaceae.
GUACCUUCAAGCUUUGCUUGGUGAUGGGUGUUUGUCCAAUCUUCAGAUUAGACUCGCCUUAAAAUUAUUGGCAGCCGGCAUAUUGGCCUUUGGAGCGCAGCACAUUUUGCGAUCUAAGCCUGUAUACUGGUAUCCAUGAAGCCUCUUUAUCAC